RNAcentral lists this ribosomal RNA (235 nucleotides) under uncultured bacterium. RNAcentral's name for it is "partial 16S ribosomal RNA". It matches the Rfam family "Bacterial small subunit ribosomal RNA", at positions 118 to 347 of the family's 1533-position model. The record is from RNAcentral.
UGGGUAAUCUGCCCUCGAUUCUGGGAUAGCCCGGGGAAACCCGGAUUAAUACCGGAUAGCCUCUCGAGCUUUCGAGCUCGUGAGAGAAGGUAGCUUCGGCCUCCGAUCGAGGAUGAGCCCGCGGCGGAUUAGCUUGUUGGUGGGGUAAUGGCCUACCAAGGCGACGAUCCGUAGCUGGUCUGAGAGGACGAUCAGCCACACUGGGACUGAGACACGGCCCAGACUCCGUAGGGAG